AGUGAAGCGGGAUGAGCUCAAAUUUAAAAUCUGGCUGGUUUACUAGUCCGAAUUGUAGUUUAAAGAAGCGUUUUCGGUGGCAACCUGGGUAUAAAUCCUUUGGAAUAGGGUAUCAUAGAGGGUGAGAAUCCCGUCUUUGACUCAGUGCAUGCUACUAUGUGAUACGUUUUCAAAGAGUCGAGUUGUUUGGGAAUGCAGCUCAAAAUGGGUGGUAAAUUUCAUCUAAAGCUAAAUAUUGGCGAGAGACCGAUAGCGAACAAGUACCGUGAGGGAAAGAUGAAAAGAACUUUGAAAAGAGAGUUAAACAGUGCGUGAAAUUGUUGAAAGGGAAACGUUUGACACCAGUCAUGUGGGUGGAAAAUCAGUCUUUUGGGGUGGGGAGAGGUAGGGGUUCAGACCGCAAGGCUGACUUUUGUCUCAUCUUUGCUCUAAAGGAUGCACUUUUUCAUUUGCAGGUCAACAUCAGUUUCUUCUGCUGGACAAAACUCUGAGAGAAUGUAGCAGCUCAGGCUGUGUUAUAGCUCUGGAGCGAUACAGUGGGGGGGACUGAGGUUUUCGCAGUGUGUGCCUUCGGGCAAGGUUAACUGGGUGCUAUGUGAUAGCACGGUGUACAAUGCAUGCAUUUUGCGCUGUGUCUGUUGCAUACUCGCCUGAAUUGACUCUUUCACGCUAAGGAUGUUGACUUAAUGGUUUUAAACGACCCGUCUUGAAACACGGACCAAGGAGUCUAACAUAUAUGCAAGUGUUUGGGUGGCAAACCCAUACGCGUAAUGAAAGUGAACGUAGGUGCGAUCCGCAAGGUGCAGCAUCGACCGAUCUUGAUAUUUUUGGAUAGAUUUGAGUAAGAGCAUAUAUGCUGGGACCCGAAAGAUGGUGAACUAUGCCUGAAUAGGGUGAAGCCAGAGGAAACUCUGGUGGAGGCUCGUAGCGAUUCUGACGUGCAAAUCGAUCGUCAAAUUUGGGUAUAGGGGCGAAAGACUAAUCGA
RNAcentral lists this ribosomal RNA (986 nucleotides) under Entomortierella beljakovae. Its description in RNAcentral is "eukaryotic LSU rRNA". It matches the Rfam family "Eukaryotic large subunit ribosomal RNA", at positions 92 to 938 of the family's 3401-position model. The record is from RNAcentral. Lineage: Eukaryota; Fungi; Mortierellomycota; Mortierellomycetes; Mortierellales; Mortierellaceae.